AUGAACGCUGGCGGCGUGCCUAAUACAUGCAAGUCGAGCGAACGGACGAGAAGCUUGCUUCUCUGAUGUUAGCGGCGGACGGGUGAGUAACACGUGGAUAACCUACCUAUAAGACUGGGAUAACUUCGGGAAACCGGAGCUAAUACCGGAUUAUAUUUUGAACCGCAUGGUUCAAAAGUGAAAGACGGUCUUGCUGUCACUUAUAGAUGGAUCCGCGCUGCAUUAGCUAGUUGGUAAGGUAACGGCUUACCAAGGCAACGAUGCAUAGCCGACCUGAGAGGGUGAUCGGCCACACUGGAACUGAGACACGGUCCAGACUCCUACGGGAGGCAGCAGUAGGGAAUCUUCCGCAAUGGGCGAAAGCCUGACGGAGCAACGCCGCGUGAGUGAUGAAGGUCUUCGGAUCGUAAAACUCUGUUAUUAGGGAAGAACAUAUGUGUAAGUAACCGUGCACAUCUUGACGGUACCUAAUCAGAAAGCCACGGCUAACUACGUG
Molecule: ribosomal RNA, 496 nt
Filed under: uncultured bacterium
Lineage: Bacteria
Description: partial 16S ribosomal RNA
Rfam family: Bacterial small subunit ribosomal RNA
Source: RNAcentral